This 253-nucleotide ribosomal RNA is filed under the name uncultured bacterium. RNAcentral describes it as "partial 16S ribosomal RNA". It matches the Rfam family "Bacterial small subunit ribosomal RNA", at positions 524 to 776 of the family's 1533-position model. The record is from RNAcentral.
UACGUAGGGGGCAAGCGUUGUCCGGAUUUAUUGGGCGUAAAGAGCGUGUAGGCGGCCAGGUAGGUCCGUUGUGAAAACUCGAGGCUCAACCUCGAGACGUCGGCGGAAACCCUCUGGCUAGAGUCCGGAAGAGGAGAGUGGAAUUCCUGGUGUAGCGGUGAAAUGCGCAGAUAUCAGGAAGAACACCCGUGGCGAAGGCGGCUCUCUGGUACGUGACUGACGCUGAGACGCGAAAGCGUGGGGAGCGAACAGG